UGCCCAGACUCCUACGGGAGGCAGCAGUGGGGAAUAUUGCACAAUGGGGGAAACCCUGAUGCAGCGACGCCGCGUGAGCGAAGAAGUACCUCGGUAUGUAAAGCUCUAUCAGCAGGGAAGAAGAUGACGGUACCUGACCAAGAAGCUCCGGCUAAAUACGUGCCAGCAGCCGCGGUAAUACGUAGGGGGCAAGCGUUAUCCGGAUUUACUGGGUGUAAAGGGGGCGCAGACGGCGAUGCAAGCCAGGAGUGAAAGCCCGGGGCCCAACCCCGGGACUGCUCUUGGAACUGCGUGGCUGGAGUGCAGGAGGGGCAGGCGGAAUUCCUGGUGUAGCGGUGAAAUGCGUAGAUAUCAGGAGGAACACCGGCGGCGAAGGCGGCCUGCUGGACCGCGACUGACGUUGAGGCUCGAAAGCGUGGGGAGCGAACAGGAUUAGAUACCCGGGUA
This 447-nucleotide ribosomal RNA is filed under the name uncultured bacterium. Its description in RNAcentral is "partial 16S ribosomal RNA". It matches the Rfam family "Bacterial small subunit ribosomal RNA", at positions 328 to 792 of the family's 1533-position model. The record is from RNAcentral.